CACCUCUAGCAUUACCAGUAUUAGAGGCACUGCCUGCCCAGUGACAUUAGUUAAACGGCCGCGGUAUCCUGACCGUGCAAAGGUAGCAUAAUCAUUUGUUCCUUAAUUAGGGACUUGUAUGAAUGGCCCCACGAGGGUUUAACUGUCUCUUACUUUUAAUCAGUGAAAUUGACCUUCCCGUGAAGAGGCGGGAAUAUGACAAUAAGACGAGAAGACCCUAUGGAGCUUAAAUUAAUAUGCUCAACAAAAUUUAAAUUUAACCCAACAGGAAUAAUCACAAUUUAACUGAGCAACAAAUUUUGGUUGGGGUGACCUCGGAGUAUAACAAAACCUCCGAGUGAUUUUAACUAAGACAUACUCGUCAAAGUUACAUAACUUAUUGAUCCAAUCAUAUUGAUCAACGAAACAAGUUACCCUAGGGAUAACAGCGCAAUCCUAUUCGAGAGUUCAUAUCGACAAUAGGGUUUACGACCUCGAUGUUGGAUCAGGACACCCAAAUGGUGCAGCAGCUAUUAAAGGUUCGUUUGUUCAACG
RNAcentral lists this ribosomal RNA (534 nucleotides) under Crocidura theresae (Therese's shrew). RNAcentral's name for it is "partial large subunit ribosomal RNA". It matches the Rfam family "Bacterial large subunit ribosomal RNA", at positions 1816 to 2586 of the family's 2925-position model. The record is from RNAcentral. Lineage: Eukaryota; Metazoa; Chordata; Mammalia; Eulipotyphla; Soricidae.